UACAGAGGGUGCAAGCGUUAUCCGGAUUCACUGGGUUUAAAGGGUGCGUAGGUGGGUUGGUAAGUCAGUGGUGAAAUCCCCGAGCUUAACUUGGGAACUGCCAUUGAUACUAUUAAUCUUGAAUACCGUGGAGGUUAGCGGAAUAUGUCAUGUAGCGGUGAAAUGCUUAGAUAUGACAUAGAACACCAAUUGCGAAGGCAGCUGGCUACACGAAUAUUGACACUGAUGCACGAAAGCGUGGGGAUCAAACAGG
This 253-nucleotide ribosomal RNA is filed under the name uncultured bacterium. Its description in RNAcentral is "partial 16S ribosomal RNA". It matches the Rfam family "Bacterial small subunit ribosomal RNA", at positions 524 to 776 of the family's 1533-position model. The record is from RNAcentral.